Misgurnus anguillicaudatus (oriental weatherfish) is the source of this 863-nucleotide non-coding RNA. Lineage: Eukaryota; Metazoa; Chordata; Actinopteri; Cypriniformes; Cobitidae. The record is from RefSeq and is a predicted model, not a curated record.
CUCAAUUAUCUGCAGAGUUUAGAUUCAGCCCUUAUCAAACACAUCUGAUGCAGAGAAAGUUCAAGACCGGUGUCUUUGGGGUGGUUGGAGCUAAACUCUGCAGGACACCGGCCCUACAGGAACUGAGUUUGACACUCCUGCUUUAGAACAAAGUAACUUGGCUCCUUUGUCCAAUUUUUAUGGUUAUAUAUUAAAAUAUUUUUUAUUUUGUUGCAGUAAACUAACUAGCAGAAUCACUUCAGGAUCAUGGAAGCUGAUAAAAAACAAGAAUGUUCCAAAACAGUUGGCCGGCUCUGUUGACUGUGGGAUCUUUAUGUUGAUGUAUGCUUUCUACAUGAUCUUGGAGGAACCCUUUGAUUUUACAGCUUCUGAUUUUCCCGUCAUUCGGAAAUGGUGGUGCCUUAUUCUGAUGGAGAAUUUUGCCAUUCAAAAGUAACUCUCUUGCUCUCUCAAGUAUUUCUUUGUCCAUGUGUCUAUAAAUUAAUUUGAAAUUAAUUUGUCACAGAAAACAUGCUGACCUUGAUGUGCAAGUGCCACUUGAACAACAUGACACUGAAAUGGGUGACGAGGAACCACAGAUCGUCAAAGAUCUCUUGACUGCAGUUGGAUGGUUGCAGGAAAACGGCCAUGCCUUCAGAGGUUUUGCGCAAGAGCCGUGGUAUCUGUCCUUAAACAAGGAAGACCAGGAAAAGGCCCUUCUUCAACUAGAUCGGGCGGAAAAGAAUGACGACAGACAACUGGCCAAAGAGCCUUUCAUGUUUUGUUUCCAGUUCAGGGAAGAUAUGGAAGUUUUUCUUAAUGAGUGCCAGGACAAAAGGCGCCUCAGGAUUAACUCCAUGUUUAUGGAGUUUUGAGGUUUUUUU